AAUAAUAAUUGUGUAAUUUUUAUUUCAGUUAGUGAUUCCAGAAUAUAUUUUACAUUUCUUCUCCAAUUUGCUGUUUUUGUUUGGAGGCCAGUGGUUAUCCAUUGCUAUAAAUGUUCCAUUAAUGGCUUAUCAUAUUUCAAAGUAUCGAAAUAGACCAGCUAUGUCUGGCUUUGGUCUCUAUGAUCCAACAAGUAUUAUGAAUGCCGAUAAACUAAAUAAAUAUCAACGUGAAGGUUGGAUAAAAUUGGCAUUUUAUUUGUUCUCAUUUUUUUACUACUUAUAUGGAAUGAUAAGAGCAUUAAUCACAGUUUAAAUCUAAGAUGCUCGGAAGUCUGAACAUUCAUCUUGUACAACUAUAAUAGCUUAAAAGUUAAAUAUAACUAUGGGCAGGUGGAACAAUAAUCACCAGAUUGAAUAGCCCCAACAUUUUUAAUUAUUUCAGUAAAUAUGUAUGUUUCUGGCAAUCUGGAAUAUUGGAACUGUGCAUAAAAUAAUUAACAAUUAAGUUAACUGUGUUAAAAAAAUUAUAAAUGAUACUUUUAUUUAA
RNA transcript from Acyrthosiphon pisum (pea aphid), 547 nucleotides. It is a transcript of the gene named protein cornichon homolog 1, with no coding region annotated. The transcript is spliced from 4 exons. Lineage: Eukaryota; Metazoa; Arthropoda; Insecta; Hemiptera; Aphididae. The record is from RefSeq and is a predicted model, not a curated record.